Lycium barbarum (goji berry) is the source of this 1785-nucleotide long non-coding RNA. RefSeq lists it as uncharacterized. The record is from RefSeq and is a predicted model, not a curated record. The transcript has 3 exons. NCBI's taxonomy places the organism in Eukaryota, Viridiplantae, Streptophyta, Magnoliopsida, Solanales, Solanaceae.
AAUAUACUUAGUUAGAUGAAGUUUCAGUUGUGUAUAUAAAAGGUUUAAUUUUUAAAAUUAGGUGAUCUAGCUGUAACUACGGCAUCGUACAGGGUUGUUUAGUGUAGUUUAACCAAAAAUAAAAAGAUAACUUGAGUAUUUAUCUUAAAAUUGGGAGCAAAUUAGUAUUUAAGAAAAUUUGUACUAACUCUUAGAAAACCCUAAUCCUUUUCCUCCCCUAUAUAUAAUGAUGCUUUUACCAAUUCUUCUCAUUCUCAACUCAACCUCCUGCGGCUAAGAUGAAAGGAGCUCACAACAAUGAAGAAAAGAAUGACGAUGAUGAUGAUGAAACCAGUUUCCAACAUGAAUCCUCCUCAUGGAUUCUUCAGAUCCAUCAAAUCAAUGAAUCACCGAGUUUGUGACAUGGUCGAGUUGCUGGCUUAGAAGAUGCAAUUUUUCCCUAUCGAGAGAGACCUUUUGCGAUCCUGGAAUUCGAGUAUUUCUCUUGGAAUGUACAUCCAAAUGAAGCAUUUGAUAGAAGAACUUCAUUAUCCUUUGAACCUCAGAAAAUGGGAUAUGUUUAUACCUAAAAUCUGCAUCUCACCCUGCUCCUGCUCUUGUAAGAUUCCCAAAAUAAGCAACAACUUCGUUAUCUUGAUCAGAGUCUUUCUUCCAUUCGGGAGUUUGGGGACAAAAAUAAUGAUCAGGAUUCGAUGAGAAAUAGAAGUCAUUUAACGUUUCCACAUACUUCGGUCUGUAAAUUCCAGGAGGGCGUGCUUGGGAAAUAUUGUUAUUGCAUCACUGACACUAAGUGACUAAUUACAUACGAGAAAAUGUACAAUCAUGUAGCCAGUUCGGUUAUGACCAUGAGUGCAGUGGACAACAACAUACUUACUUGCUUGAGAUUCUUGAGAUACAUGGGAGUGCAAUGUUACAUCUCAAGAAUCUCAAGCAAGUCGGAUGUUGUUGUCCACUGCACUCAUGGUCACAACCGAACUGGCUACAUGAUUGUAUAUUUUUUUGUAUGUAAUCAGUCACUUAGUGUCAAUGAGGCAAUAGCAAUAUUUGCUCAAGCACGCCCUUCUGGAAUUUUUCACGCCCUCCUGGAAUUUACAGACUGAAAUAUGUUGGAGCGUUAUAUGACUUUUAUUUCCAAUCAAAGCCUGAACAUUAUUUUUAUCCCCAAACUCCCUAAUGGAAGAAAGACUCUGAUCAAGAUGCAUGGGAAUUAUAUGUGUAAUAUGAUCAAGAUACCUGAGAUUCACAGGAAUCCAACAUUGUACUCCUUGAUUUUGAAGGAAGCCUUGAACAUUCUUGUCUCAACCUCAUUAUUCUGGAGGGUUGUCAGCAGGUUACCAAAUUUCUUAGUGCAUGGUAUUAAUUGGGCAUUGUGGAUAUUACUCUCAUUGCCAGCUCUAUCGUAAUGCAAUCCCCAGUAUGUUGAUUGAUCGUCAAGCAAUAGAUCAAAAUUCAACUUGUCAAAAGAAGAACAAAAAAUAAAGUUAUCGAUAUAGAAUUGAUCACAAGGAUAUAUUAAUUGAAGAAGGACCAGGACGAGAAGAAAAAUGAUAAACCAACUUUGAUAUGAAAGGAAAAGUUAUCGAAAGGAAACAAAUAGGACAACACUUUUUUGAAGUGGGAGAUAUGGGAAGAACAAAACAAUUCAAUGGCUUGUUAAAUAUUGUACAAUGAUUCAGAUUUAGAUAACUAGAAAUAAAUGAUUUUUGUAUAGGAUAAGAGAGGCUUUUUCUGACAAUUAGCUCCAUGAUGUAAACUGGUAUUGUAAUAUGAAUUUUCCAUUUAUUC